UGUGUGUUUAUGAGGAGUGACUGUGUGUGUUUGAGGUGUGACUGUGUGUGUUUAUGAGGUGUGACUGUGUGUGUUUGAGGUGUGACUGUGUGUGUUUAUGAGGAGUGACUGUGUGUGUUUAUGAGGAGUGACUGUGUGUUUAUGAGGAGUGACUGUGUGUUUAUGAGGAGUGACUGUGUGUUUAUGAGGAGUGACUGUGUGUGUUUAUGAGGUGUGACUGUGUGUGUUUAUGAGGUGUGACUGUGUGUGUUUAUGAGGUGUGACUGUGUGUGUUUAUGAGGUGUGACUGUGUGUGUUUAUGAGGAGUGACUGUGUGUGUUUAUGAGGAGUGACUGUGUGUGUUUAUGAGGAGUGACUGUGUGUUUAUGAGGAGUGACUGUGUGUGUUUAUGAGGAGUGACUGUGUGUUUAUGAGGUGUGACUGUGUGUGUUUAUGAGGUGUGACUGUGUGUGUUUGAGGUGUGACUGUGUGUGUUUGAGGUGUGACUGUGUGUGUUUAUGAGGAGUGACUGUGUCUGUUUAUGAGGUGUGACUGUGUGUGUUUAUGAGGUGUGACUGUGUGUCUUUAUGAGGUGUGACUGUGUGUGUUUAUGAGGUGUGACUGUGUGUGUUUACGACGAGUGACUGUGUGUGUUUAUGAGGACUGACUGUGUGUGUUUAUGAGGUGUGACUGUGUGUUUACGAGGAGUGACUGUGUGUUUAUGAGGAGUGACUGUGUGUUUAUGAGGAGUGACUGUGUGUUUAUGAGGAGUGACUGUGUGUGUUUAUGAGGUGUAACUCUGUGUGUUUAUGAGGAGUGACUGUGUGUGUUUAUGUGGUGUGACUGUGUGUGUUUAUGAGGUGUAACUCUGUGUGUUUAUGAGGAGUGACUAUGUGUGUUUAUGCGGUGUGACUGUGUGUGUUUAUGAGGAGUGACUGUGUGUGUUUAUGAGGAGUGA
This 937-nucleotide long non-coding RNA is filed under the name Salmo salar (Atlantic salmon). Its description in RNAcentral is "lncRNA (ENSSSAG00000086304.1)". Lineage: Eukaryota; Metazoa; Chordata; Actinopteri; Salmoniformes; Salmonidae. The record is from RNAcentral.